RNAcentral lists this ribosomal RNA (119 nucleotides) under Salmo salar (Atlantic salmon). The record is from RNAcentral. Lineage: Eukaryota; Metazoa; Chordata; Actinopteri; Salmoniformes; Salmonidae.
GCUCACGGCCAUACCAGCCUGGGUACGCCCGAUCUCGUCUGAUCUCGGAAGCGAAGCAGGGUCGGGCCUGGUUAGUACUUGGAUGGGAGACCGCCUGGGAAUACCAGGUGCUGUAAGCA